CUGACUACAUAAAGUCAAACCGAGCAUAAACUGCUUUAGUGUUAUUUUGAGUCACUUACACAUAACUUGUCCAAUAAAGUUUAUCAAACAAAUACGGAGUAUUUACCAUGAACUCAAACAUGCGUCAUCGUUGUGUCGUGUUAUUUGCAAUUUUUUUCUUUGGCUUCAUCAUUUCAUUAGAUGCGGCUCCGAGAAGCGGGGAAAAGCGAAAGAAGGGGUCCUCCUCAAAUGUUGCACCGUCCGGGAAGGAGGAGGAUUCGGAAGCUAUAAAAAAUCUGGAAAAAAAUAUUUAUAUUCCACGUUUAGACAACUGUUUUUCAGAUCUCAAAAAGGAUG
This is a long non-coding RNA of Adelges cooleyi (spruce gall adelgid), 336 nucleotides long. RefSeq lists it as uncharacterized. The transcript is spliced from 3 exons. NCBI's taxonomy places the organism in Eukaryota, Metazoa, Arthropoda, Insecta, Hemiptera, Adelgidae. The record is from RefSeq and is a predicted model, not a curated record.